This 707-nucleotide ribosomal RNA is filed under the name Pseudomonadota bacterium. RNAcentral describes it as "bacterial SSU rRNA". It matches the Rfam family "Bacterial small subunit ribosomal RNA", at positions 30 to 729 of the family's 1533-position model. The record is from RNAcentral. Lineage: Bacteria; Pseudomonadati; Pseudomonadota.
UGAACGCUGGCGGCAUGCCUUACACAUGCAAGUCGAACGGCAGCACGGGAGCAAUCCUGGUGGCGAGUGGCGAACGGGUGAGUAAUAUAUCGGAACGUGCCCAGUCGUGGGGGAUAACGCAGCGAAAGCUGUGCUAAUACCGCAUACGAUCUAUGGAUGAAAGCGGGGGAUCGCAAGACCUCGCGCGAUUGGAGCGGCCGAUAUCAGAUUAGGUUGUUGGUGGGGUAAAAGCCCACCAAGCCGACGAUCUGUAGCUGGUCUGAGAGGACGACCAGCCACACUGGAACUGAGACACGGUCCAGACUCCUACGGGAGGCAGCAGUGGGGAAUUUUGGACAAUGGGCGCAAGCCUGAUCCAGCAAUGCCGCGUGCAGGAUGAAGGCCUUCGGGUUGUAAACUGCUUUUGUACGGAACGAAACGGUCUGCUCUAAUACAGCGGACUAAUGACGGUACCGUAAGAAUAAGCACCGGCUAACUACGUGCCAGCAGCCGCGGUAAUACGUAGGGUGCGAGCGUUAAUCGGAAUUACUGGGCGUAAAGCGUGCGCAGGCGGUUAUAUAAGACAGAUGUGAAAUCCCCGGGCUCAACCUGGGACCUGCAUUUGUGACUGUAUAGCUAGAGUGCGGCAGAGGGGGAUGGAAUUCCGCGUGUAGCAGUGAAAUGCGUAGAUAUGCGGGAGGGAACACCGAUGGCGGAAGGCAAUCCCC